GUGCUCACUUCAUCAGCACAUAUGCUAAAACUGAAACAAUACAAGGAAGAUUGUUAUGGCCCCUGUGCAAGGCUGAAAUGUAAAUUGGCAAGGUAUUCCAUAUUUAA
Myodes glareolus (Bank vole) is the source of this 107-nucleotide small nuclear RNA. NCBI's taxonomy places the organism in Eukaryota, Metazoa, Chordata, Mammalia, Rodentia, Cricetidae. The record is from RefSeq and is a predicted model, not a curated record.